This 1753-nucleotide ribosomal RNA is filed under the name Escherichia coli. Its description in RNAcentral is "partial 23S ribosomal RNA". It matches the Rfam family "Bacterial large subunit ribosomal RNA", at positions 1206 to 2925 of the family's 2925-position model. Lineage: Bacteria; Pseudomonadati; Pseudomonadota; Gammaproteobacteria; Enterobacterales; Enterobacteriaceae. The record is from RNAcentral.
CAGCGACGCUUAUGCGUUGUUGGGUAGGGGAGCGUUCUGUAAGCCUGUGAAGGUGUGCUGUGAGGCAUGCUGGAGGUAUCAGAAGUGCGAAUGCUGACAUAAGUAACGAUAAAGCGGGUGAAAAGCCCGCUCGCCGGAAGACCAAGGGUUCCUGUCCAACGUUAAUCGGGGCAGGGUGAGUCGACCCCUAAGGCGAGGCCGAAAGGCGUAGUCGAUGGGAAACAGGUUAAUAUUCCUGUACUUGGUGUUACUGCGAAGGGGGGACGGAGAAGGCUAUGUUGGCCGGGCGACGGUUGUCCCGGUUUAAGCGUGUAGGCUGGUUUUCCAGGCAAAUCCGGAAAAUCAAGGCUGAGGCGUGAUGACGAGGCACUACGGUGCUGAAGCAACAAAUGCCCUGCUUCCAGGAAAAGCCUCUAAGCAUCAGGUAACAUCAAAUCGUACCCCAAACCGACACAGGUGGUCAGGUAGAGAAUACCAAGGCGCUUGAGAGAACUCGGGUGAAGGAACUAGGCAAAAUGGUGCCGUAACUUCGGGAGAAGGCACGCUGAUAUGUAGGUGAGGUCCCUCGCGGAUGGAGCUGAAAUCAGUCGAAGAUACCAGCUGGCUGCAACUGUUUAUUAAAAACACAGCACUGUGCAAACACGAAAGUGGACGUAUACGGUGUGACGCCUGCCCGGUGCCGGAAGGUUAAUUGAUGGGGUUAGCGCAAGCGAAGCUCUUGAUCGAAGCCCCGGUAAACGGCGGCCGUAACUAUAACGGUCCUAAGGUAGCGAAAUUCCUUGUCGGGUAAGUUCCGACCUGCACGAAUGGCGUAAUGAUGGCCAGGCUGUCUCCACCCGAGACUCAGUGAAAUUGAACUCGCUGUGAAGAUGCAGUGUACCCGCGGCAAGACGGAAAGACCCCGUGAACCUUUACUAUAGCUUGACACUGAACAUUGAGCCUUGAUGUGUAGGAUAGGUGGGAGGCUUUGAAGUGUGGACGCCAGUCUGCAUGGAGCCGACCUUGAAAUACCACCCUUUAAUGUUUGAUGUUCUAACGUUGACCCGUAAUCCGGGUUGCGGACAGUGUCUGGUGGGUAGUUUGACUGGGGCGGUCUCCUCCUAAAGAGUAACGGAGGAGCACGAAGGUUGGCUAAUCCUGGUCGGACAUCAGGAGGUUAGUGCAAUGGCAUAAGCCAGCUUGACUGCGAGCGUGACGGCGCGAGCAGGUGCGAAAGCAGGUCAUAGUGAUCCGGUGGUUCUGAAUGGAAGGGCCAUCGCUCAACGGAUAAAAGGUACUCCGGGGAUAACAGGCUGAUACCGCCCAAGAGUUCAUAUCGACGGCGGUGUUUGGCACCUCGAUGUCGGCUCAUCACAUCCUGGGGCUGAAGUAGGUCCCAAGGGUAUGGCUGUUCGCCAUUUAAAGUGGUACGCGAGCUGGGUUUAGAACGUCGUGAGACAGUUCGGUCCCUAUCUGCCGUGGGCGCUGGAGAACUGAGGGGGGCUGCUCCUAGUACGAGAGGACCGGAGUGGACGCAUCACUGGUGUUCGGGUUGUCAUGCCAAUGGCACUGCCCGGUAGCUAAAUGCGGAAGAGAUAAGUGCUGAAAGCAUCUAAGCACGAAACUUGCCCCGAGAUGAGUUCUCCCUGACCCUUUAAGGGUCCUGAAGGAACGUUGAAGACGACGACGUUGAUAGGCCGGGUGUGUAAGCGCAGCGAUGCGUUGAGCUAACCGGUACUAAUGAACCGUGAGGCUUAACCUUACAACGCCGAAG